Triticum dicoccoides is the source of this 6754-nucleotide RNA transcript. RefSeq lists it as uncharacterized. Lineage: Eukaryota; Viridiplantae; Streptophyta; Magnoliopsida; Poales; Poaceae. The transcript has 3 exons. The record is from RefSeq and is a predicted model, not a curated record.
CACAGUUCACACCUCGCACCCGCCGCGUCCGUCAUGUACUCCGGCGACUCUCACCGCCGGCCCGAUGGCCCCUCCGCCACGCCGGCCCUCCACCUGUCGGCCGCCGCCGUGCCCCCACCGCGUGUCCUCGCUUCCUCCUCCUCCUGCCCCAACACCUCGUCUAUCCGCUCCGCCUCUCACAGUCUCCCUCCUCGCGCUCUCCUUGCUCUCCGCGUCGCCGUCCUCCUCCCGCCAUGGCGCCUCCCUCUCCCUCUCCCGCGCAUCCUCCUCCUAGCACGCUUCCGCAUUCUCGUGCCUCUCCCACGCUUCAUCCCUCUCCUCCUUCCCACCUGCCGCCACCGCCGCCGCUGCCACGCUUCAGCUUCUCGCCUCCUCUUACUUCCGCCUCCGCCGCCGUUCUUCACCUGUCACUACCCGCCAGAAUCACUCCGGACCAAUAUUCGGCUUCCCACGUACCGUUCUCUCUUGUCAAGAUUCAUCAGCUCACCCUUGCCCGCGUCCUGUUCGAUGAAAUGUCGCAGUCUUUGUUCUUAUGAAAUGCUGCGUCUGGUGUUCGCCUAGCCCUUCGCGCCUCGCUACUUUCCUGGUCCUAGACCCUGUGGCUGGAUCACCCUCCGCCGCUCCCACGUGGGCCUCACCUUGUCCGCGACUCAUCCGGCAUGGUCCAGGUGACAGCUCUGCCAGAAUACCUUCAAGCUUACUCUAUUGUGAAUAGGCUAAGAGUGGAACAAGUCGAAAAGAACUGGCCCACAGUGGUUGCUGUCAAGGGGGUGGUGCGGCUGCGCCCGACAGAAGCCAUCAAUGAAGACUGGGGCUAUAGAGGUACUGACUGGUCUUUAUGGUACUUUAUUUAAAUGUCUUCUGGUAGGUAAGAGGUAGAGUUGACUCAGCCUGGUUAAAAUUUCAAAUUUACACUAUCUAGUGUACAAAUGCUACUCUACCUUCUGCUGUUACAGAUCAGCAGUAGGGUGUACGUUUUCUCCAAAAGCUGUAUGUGAGAUCACUCUGUUAUGUACCUGUUCCAAGUUGUAAGACCGCAGGACACUGUUACUUCCAUUGAUCAUAACAGAAAUGGGAUCAGGAUCUCACUUCAAAAAAUGAACUAUUUUAUCUUUGAACCAUAUGCUACUCUUUGAUUUGGUUCAGAAUAUUAAUCAGAAUGUUCAGUAGUAGAACAUAGAAAGAUAAUAAUACAUUUAUUUUUGUUAUAGUUCUUUUUUGGGUUAGUUGAAGCUGCUUGUCAUUGUGACCUGAACCCAAAAUAAAGAGUAUUAAUUGAAGCUGUUUGUUGUGGCCUGAACCCAAAAUAAAGCGUAAUUAGCUCAGUUGGGAUGAGUAUAUGACUCUGAAUACACGUUUAGCACAUCAAACUGGUUGGAGAACACUGAGAACUCAUGCUUCCCUUUUUCGCAUUGUUGUCAUUCAUUUCUAUCACCUUCAUGUGUCUAGAAAUUACUAAUUGGAUAUUGCCACAAACUAACUACCCACGGUGUGUGUAUGCUACCUUCCUUUGGGACUCUAGGAACAUUUCCAACUUCGCUGUGAAACUGACGUUGCUACCUCUUGAGAUGAUACACUCACACCACCUUGUCAAUUGUUUUGGAAACUGUGUUUAAGGAGUAAUACAUUUUCAUCUACUAGAAUAUGAGCACUCGAAAUUCUGUAAUACGCAACAAGUGACAUGUUUAUUAGCUUAUUCUGUUGUACUGUAGCUGAACACCUUUUUUCUUGCCUCGCCUUUUUCCAUUUCCAUUCUACUUCUGUAUUCCCUACCAUGUCUAUUUCUCACCUUUUCUUUCCGUACUUCAUAGUUAUAUGUACUUUUCUGGACAAAGAGAAAAAUGAACUUUCUGAAAAGGGAACACAAAUAGUAGACCACUGAUUUUUUUGAUAUAUUGACUGGAUAUUCUUCCUAUAGUUGACAAUAGCAUAUCAUAGUAAAUUUCACCUAUAUUUGCAAGAACAGAUUGGUACUAUCCAAUGAUCAAAAGAGUGGUGUCUCACGACAGUCCUUUUAACUCUUGUAUAGUUGUAUGAAGUACCAGAAUAGUGAUGUUUGGUUUUAUAAUCCAAAAAGGAGUGAGAGAUGGAAGCAAGCACUUGAAUCUGAGAAAGGAAUGAUGAUCAAGACAACACUAGUUGUCUGGUUCUGAGAAUUUAUCGUUGGGAGAGGAAAUUGAUGAGACUGAAAUGUCAUGCUUGGAGUGAAGAACCCGAUGAAUCUCCUGCAAAGAAAAAGUCAAUGGAUGUUAAACAAGUGGAGAGGAAAUCUGGGUCUAAGGUAAAGGAAAAGGAUUUGCAAUAAGGAUGAUGGGAAAGAAGGCUAGAUCAAUAAUUCUCUUGCUUUGAGCAAGAAUCAACUUGCUAAGGCAUCCAAGGAAAGCAAAGCUACAAGAUCUGGAAUACCUAUCAUAGUCAGUGCUACUAUUUAUUAUCACAACAUUUUCUUACAUCUUCAGUAGGCUUAUGCAAACAAUCUAUUGAUCUUCUGCUCCAGAUCAUAGAAAUACCAAUCUAAUUUUGCUCUUUGUUUAUGCUUUAAUAUUAUUCCCAUCCGAACAAGUAAAAAAAAAUAUUAGAUCAAACUACAGUUGGGUCAAGGGUAUGUUUCGAAAAUAGGGGUCACAGAACACUGCACAGAAAAUAAAGACCAUGCGUAAGUACUUUUCUGAAAACUUGUUUCAUUUGAAGGCUUACUUUUGUUAGUCAGAGUUCACUUAAUUUAUGCAGAUAAUUGUGCCCCGACUUUUCUAUGGCUUCUAGUACAAGAAAGGAAUAUAAUUGAUAAAUGCUUCCACUGUCUAAAAAGAGAAGGGAAUCAUUAUCCGAAAAAGAGAAAGGAAUAAAGACCCUAGCUUGCAACACCUGCUAGGUAUCUCGAUGAUAUCUGAGCACAUGUAUAUAAUGAUGACACGGAUGAAAUCAUCCCACCUAUAACAUUCAAUAGAUAUGAUCAUACGAUAGGCACACAUAUAUCCAGUUAAAGGCGGUGCAUGUGAGCUGGGUGCUCAAUACGGAAUUACUGGAGUAUUCAGUGUCUCAGCCAACAGGUAUGCCUUGAUACACCAAUUCCAAUUUUCACAUAUAUUAUAUAUUGCUAGGUUUUUGCUGAGCAUCAUGUAAUUAGAGGCUAUGUUUGCAUUGCAAGGUCAUGCUGAUACUACUAAAUUAAGGCGCCGUUUGGAUUAAGAGGUAGAUAGGAAGAGUAGAAAUGUGGGAUUGGGAUAUAUCCGUUCAACUGCAUAUAUGUAUGUCCAAACAGCUCCUAAAAAUACUGCGAGAAUUUCCCAGAAAAAUAAAUUUUGGAUAAAAAUCUAAAAAAUAUGCUAGAUGGAAGACAUCAUCUACCUACCUACCCACAUCAUGCAUAUGGCACGGUCAACAUACUUAAUAUGUAGUUUGACGAAAGUACUUUAGUCAUGAGUCAUGAAUUCUCUGCUAUCUGAUGUUAUUUUUCUUGCUUAAUUAGUCUAGCUAGCUAGAUGCAGAACAUACCCUGAUUGCAUCUAAUUAUCAGAAACCGCUGAUGUCCAUGCAGUUGCAAAUCAAGAGAGAACCGGCUACCUAGGAUUGCCAAGAGUACGUAAGUCGAUCCAUGGCAGAAGCUUCAAAGUUCAUUACCAUUAUGCAACUAUUCAGCGACUGGGAAAUCCAUGUAUUGAUUCUCUUGAGCUUUUGCCUGCAACUAUUCCUCUUCUUCUCCGGCAGCCUUCGGCGCCGCCACGACCAUAGGCUGCUUAGGAUCAUGACAUGGUUGUCUUACCUAUCAGCUGAUUUCACUGCAGCAUAUGCUCUGGGCCUUCUUUCACGCGAGGUUGCUACCACUUCCACCACAGACAACAAUGAUGAUCAUCAUAAAUCAAUGCCCAGUGAAACCCCUCAUCAGCUCAUGGUAUUGUGGGCACCAUUCCUUCUUAUCCAUCUUGGAGGACAGGACACUGUGACUGCUUUUUCAUUGGAGGACAAUGAGCUGUGGUUGAGGCACCUGCUGAUGCUGCUAGGCCAAGCAUGCCUAGUUGUCUAUGUGCUGUGGAAAUGGGUAACAUUGUCAUACUACCAACUUUUAAUCUCGGCUGCAUUGUUGUUUGUUGAUGGGAUCAUCAAGUAUGGGGAGAGGAUUUGGGCACUCAAGUUGGGGAGCCAGGAAGGCCUCAGGAGUUCCACUAGCACAGAAGCUAAGAAAGCAUCCCUUCAAUUUGGACUAGGAUUCAGUACUGAAAGAAAAGAGCAGACCUAUCAAGAAAUUGUUAGGUAUGCUCUUCUCAGGGAGCGAGGCGUGCGGGAUAUAUUCGCUGGACGGAAACUCUUCGACAUGGACGAUUUAACUCGCGAGUACUUUCUGUAUCAAUACGAUCGGGAGGUUCCGAGAGGGGAUGCACAACUGAAUUUCAAAAGGGCGGAGAUCGAGCUUAGCAUAAUGUAUGACAGCCUCUACACAAAAUCUCGGGUGAUUCAAACAAGGUCUGGCGCCAUCCUUCGGUGUGUCUCCUUCGCCUCCAUAGUGAUUGCCUUUGUGCUCUAUGUCAAGAUGAUGGUGAGUAGUAGUGCCUAUGCUGAGCAAACAACAUCAGUAUACAACAAUGUCGACUACAGAAGUAGAGUUGAUGCUGCCAUCACCUACAUAUUAUUCAUUGGAGCAGUUUGCUUGGAAGCUUGCUCAUUCUUCGUUGUGAUGAUCAUGUCACCAUUGGAGUGGCCAUUGUUGGAAGCUCGAGCUGGAUGGUGUCGUGUGCUGCUCACUCGAGUGGCCUGGCCUAUGUUCAUGAGGAUCCAACCAGAGACCAAGCCAUGGUGGUCAAACUCAAUGGGACAGUACAACUUCUUGAGCUCCUGCUGCAACAAAAGCAGAAGCACGGACAGAAGGUGGAGUAGCACUGUCAUCAUGUCAAAGAUGGCAGGCGUAUUUGGAGCUAGUGAACUGUGGAACAAGAUAAGAAACACCAAGCAUGCCCACAUCACAAGGGAGAUGAAGGAGCUUAUCCACGAAACAAUAGGUCAUGACAGGGGGUGGCUUCCUGAGCGCAUCUGCGUUCCAAGUGCUUAUAGAUCACUACUUGUCCUCCCCUUCGAGAAGGCCUUGCUGUCGCUACACAUUUGGACAGAUGUGGUGAUGCACAAGGUGGCGAAGUCGAUGAUGGUGAGCAGCAGUGGUCGGCUCCCGAUUGACCUGGCCGUCCAAGAGCAAGACCAAGAGGCAGCACAGCGGUGGCGGCGUCUUAUGGAUAACUGCAAGAGGCUAUCUGAGUACAUGUUGUACCUGCUGCUGGCGCAACCUGCCAUGCUACCCGUGAGCAGCAACGUGCAGGAUUUUAUGGUAGCAGCGGCUGCCUCAGACUGGUCCAGGGGUGCCUCCUCCUCCAACAGCAAGGUGCAGGAUUUUAUGGUAGCAGCCGAUGUUGCCUCCAGAAAGGAGAAUUUUCUUGAGUGGUUGGCUUCAGAAUAUGAGGGUCCUGGUCUGGGCUUCUGGAAGGAGCAAACGGUGGUGCUAGAAAAUCAACAGGGCAUCAAUGCCGAGCUGGCGAUACUAGAGAAGGUGUGGGUGCGGAUGCUCGUCUAUGCAGCUGGAAAGUCCCGUCCGGAAGAGCAUGCCCGGCACCUGAGCACCGGGGGAGAGCUCAUUACUUUCGUUUGGCUGCUGAUGGCGCAUCGGCAUACUGGUGACGUGGAGCGCAGUAUCAGCCUUAUCAAAGAUGAUUUCAGCGCAGGACAUCUUUUUGAGCUAACUACUGCUAGCAUACCAUACUGUAGGCAAAUUGAUAUGGAGGAGUCAAUUACUACUUGACUUAAUUGAUUGCUUCCAUGCUGGUGUGGUGUGGUGUGGUGGGUAAACUCAGUCUAUUUUAUCUGAUAUUUGUUCAUCAAUUUUGUAUUGUAUCUCUGGUUAUAAAAACGAUUACCUUUACCAUUUCUUGUUUAAAUGCAUGCCAGCAUGUAUGAUUGAUUUGUGCAUUGAGAUCACGGCGCAUUCACACUGAGCUAGUUUUGCUCCAACAGGAGAUUCAAGGAGUGGUCUGAACAAUAUUGAUGCACUGCACAUCUAUUUCAGCACAGACUCCGGUCGUCAGUUAUGGAGACAUUGCUAUAUGUGCAAAGGGUAGUCAUGACAUUGCUUGCUUCAUCAUCGCAAUAGCAACUGUCCAUGGGAGAUGUCAGUAUUACUGUUGUUGGAUAGGAAGGCGUCAGUGCUGGACUGCUGCAUGUACGACCAGCUGUUGGAACAAAUAUGGAGCGAAAAAUUGCCAAGGAAAAUAUGCAUGUUCCUUUGGAGAUUAGGAUAGCCUUUCCACUUCCCAACCUAAAGUGCAGAGGAAUUGAUAUGGAUAGACUUGACGAGAGCGACAGUCAUAUCUUCCUAAAAUGCAAAUAUACGAAAACAACGUGGAGAGAAACCAACCUGGUGCUUGUCAGUGACAUCUUACUUGGCUGUGUUGGUGUUGCCGUAAGGAUUUGAUUUCCGAGCAUAAGCUGCAUGUUUCUCCUUUACAGACUGUUCACAAAGCCGCUGGGUUGCUCUUGCAGUGGCUGCCUUUCUUAUACAGGCAAAGCGUAAAGACACGCUGAUAGUGUUGAAAGGAAAGCUUCAGUCUUUAUGUUUUCUGAGUCUUUGUUGCGCCUGCGUGCGCCAGAGGCGGAUGCUUGAUGCAAGUGUGCCUGGGAACGCUGUAUGUGUCUUGGAUGUUUGGUUGUCUCGGGCCUUCAUUGGUCUGUACGUGCUUUGGGAAUUGUGGAUUCUUUGCUGCAGCCAGAGGCCAAU